Solanum dulcamara is the source of this 610-nucleotide long non-coding RNA. RefSeq lists it as uncharacterized. Lineage: Eukaryota; Viridiplantae; Streptophyta; Magnoliopsida; Solanales; Solanaceae. The transcript has 3 exons. The record is from RefSeq and is a predicted model, not a curated record.
GAAAGGUGAGGGGCAAAAUGGUAAUUUCACAUGGGAGCCUUAGUCAUAAAAUCCUAGAAUUCUCUACACAAUUUGAGAAAGAAGAAGAGCAAAGGAAAGAAGAGAAAUCAAGAGAGAAAAUCGGACAAGAAGACCAAAAAUUUACCCCUUCAAAUUUCAUCCCAAAAAUUAUAAUUUUCUAGUAUUCCUACUAAGUCAAGGGUGCUCUACAACAUGGUGUAGUUUUUUUUGGAAGAUAGGAGGCUUGUUUGGUUGAUUUGAAGCUUUGGUAAAGUGAAGAAGUUGGAAGAAAAAGAUUUUGGAGGAAACGGGAAUUGAAUUUGGACAACAGUAAAACGUCAAAAAGGUACCGAAGUUCGAUUUGCUGAUCCACCUGUUUAGGAUAUUUGCUGCGUCGUUGACAGUGCUCCCUUGUUCGGAGCUUGUAUUUUGGUACUGACUUUAUCUCUGUAUAUUUGGAUAUGUUGGUCAGGGGUACGACGGGGCCUUGUCCCGUCAUAUGACUAUGCUAUCAUCUGUAGAGGUCUGUAGACAGAGUUAUGUUGUGGGUUUUGUAUAUAUGGUUUGGAUUUUUGUGUGUUUUGUGAUAAUCUUUCAACUCUCGUGCGUA